This 807-nucleotide ribosomal RNA is filed under the name Planococcus sp. Syddb15. RNAcentral describes it as "bacterial SSU rRNA". It matches the Rfam family "Bacterial small subunit ribosomal RNA", at positions 75 to 865 of the family's 1533-position model. Lineage: Bacteria; Bacillati; Bacillota; Bacilli; Caryophanales; Caryophanaceae. The record is from RNAcentral.
AGAGCUUGCUCUAAUUAAAUUAGCGGCGGACGGGUGAGUAACACGUGGGCAACCUGCCCUGCAAAUUGGGAUAACUCCGGGAAACCGGGGCUAAUACCGAAUAACAUUGGAAACCUCAUGGUUUCCUUUUAAAAGGCGGCUUCGGCUGUCACUGCAGGAUGGGCCCGCGGCGCAUUAGCUAGUUGGUGAGGUAACGGCUCACCAAGGCGACAAUGCGUAGCCAACCUGAGAGGGUGAUCGGCCACACUGGGACUGAAACACGGCCCAAACUCCUACGGGAGGCAGCAGUAGGGAAUCUUCCGCAAUGGACGAAAGUCUGACGGAGCAACGCCCCGUGAGUGAAAAAGGUUUUCGGAUCGUAAAACUCUGUUGUCAGGGAAAAACAAGUACGGGAGUAACUGACCGUACCUUGACGGUACCUGGCCAGAAAGCCACGGCUAACUACGUGCCAGCAGCCGCGGUAAUACGUAGGUGGCAAGCGUUGUCCGGAAUUAUUGGGCGUAAAGCGCGCGCAGGCGGCCUUUUAAGUCUGAUGUGAAAGCCCCCGGCUCAACCGGGGAGGGUCAUUGGAAACUGGAAGGCUUGAGUGCAAAAAAGAAGAGCGGAAUUCCACGUGUAGCGGUGAAAUGCGUAAAGAUGUGGAGGAACACCAGUGGCGAAGGCGGCUCUUUGGUCUGUAACUGACGCUGAGGCGCGAAAGCGUGGGGAGCGAACAGGAUUAGAUACCCUGGUAGUCCACGCCGUAAACGAUGAGUGCUAAGUGUUGGGGGGUUUCCGCCCCUCAGUGCUGCAGCUAACGCAUUAAGC